AACUGUUUGUUGGUUCAUUUCCCAUUCAAAGAUGAAGAACCAUUCGGUGUUUUUCAUUCGAUCUAUCUCUUAGGGUUUCUGCCAUUAUCUGUUCGUUGUUGUUCCUCACAAUUUUCGGCGGAUUAGAUAAGGAUCUCAAACAAAUUUUCAAUUUUUCUCAUCAUCUAUAUUCUUCUUGGUCAAGGUUUUCCCUCUUUUUCCUUUCUCCCCAAUUCUUUUAUCUCCCUACUUUCUUCCUAACUUUUGUAUGAAUCCCAAAUCCUACUCCCUUAAUUCUUCUACUUUGUUUUCUUUUAGAAGGAAUUCUGUUUUUGCUUUUGCAGUUUUUGGGAGGACACAUUACUGGCCUUCCUGUCCUUCUCUCAGCAUCGAACCCUUUUCAGUUUGUGCUCUGUAGUUCACCAUUUUCCCUUCCUUGGGUGGCUUUGUGCUUGAUUGAAUUAACAGGGUUGGUUGAAUGUUUGGGAAUCUUUGAAGCUGCGUGGUAUUUAGCAACAGAUUUGUUGAUUGAGAUUAGAAUUUAUAUUAUACAUUUUUCACUCCUCCAAGGAAAUCUCCUGGAGUUUGGUCUAUUCAGAGUUGUGGAAUAAUUUUUUUUUUUUUUUUCUGUUUAUGGAUUACUCAAAGAAUAAACAGAAUGAGGUAUUGGGUGUGAACAAAAUUGGGAAGAAUAUAAAGAAGAGUCCACUGCACCAACCUAAUUUUGGUAACAUCCCUUCAACACAACAGCCUCAGCCUCAGCCUCAGCCUCAGGUUUACAAUAUAAACAAAAAUGAUUUUCGGAAUAUUGUUCAGCAGCUGACUGGUUCUUCACAAGAGCCAUCUAGUAGACCACCUCAGAAUCCAGCAGCUAAACAACAAAGCUUGAGAUUGCAAAGGAUACGACCUCCCCCAUUAACACCCAUAAACCGGCCCCGUGCUUCACCUCCGAUCCCUGUUUCGAUUGCCCCGCCACAGGUUCCUUAUUACAAUGGUCAGUUUAGGUCUGCACAAUGUGAUCAAUCGUCAACAGCAAUGUUUCAAGGACAACCAGCACCUACACAAUUGCCUCAACCGAUACCGGCAGACUCAGUUUGGCCAAAACCUGCUGAUUCUCCCAUAUCUGCUUACAUGCGUUAUCUUCAAAGCUCAGCAAUAGAUUCACCUUUGAUGGGAAACCAAGCUCAGGCAUUACAACAAGCACAAGUUCCUGGUCAAAUUCAAAACCAAGUGGCUCCCUCUGGCUCUAGUUUACCACCUGACCCAACCGUGCCUACUGCGCCGUCUAGUACAAAUGGUGGUCCUGUACCAUCUCUUUCUAAUUUUCCUCCCAUCCAAUCACACAGUCCUGCAAUUUUUCCCUCCCCUACACAAUUUCAUGUGCCGUCUCCUUCUAGUUACUUAAAUUUGUUGUCACCACAGUCACCUUAUCCAUUGCUUUCACCUGGAAUUCGAUUUCCUCCACCUCUGAGUCCCAAUUUUGCAUUUUCCCCCAUGGCUCAACCAGGAAUUUUAGGUCCUGUGCCUCUUCCUCCGCUUUCUCCUGGCCUUGUAUUUCCAUUAUCUCCAUCAGGAUUAUUCCCUCUACUGAGUCCAAGAUGGAGGGAUUGGUAGUCCUACUUUGAGUGUAUUAAACCCCACUCUUGUGUUACCACUUCAGCAUAAGAGAUUGUAUGCACAGAGCUGGAUCAACCAUAUGAACUGAAAGAGGUAUCAAAGGAAAACAAAAUCUCUGUUAAAGAGGUUAGGCCAUUGCGGUGAGUAUGAAUGGGAAGAUAGCUGUAGCCUGGUAGGUGUAGAACCACAGAUAUUAAAUACCCACAUUCAUUUUAGUUGAAGAUUUGUUAUGAUGUUGUAGUUGUGGAUUAUAGCAAGUUUGAUUUUCUUUCAUUUCAUUCAUUUAACUUUUGUUGAAGGAACUGUGAAGUUGAGAAAUCAGAUGUAUACUGUAUGUUGCUCUAUUCAAGAAAGUACAUAGUUUGAUUAUACAAACACUUUGUCGCUGUCUAA
Cucumis sativus (cucumber) is the source of this 1989-nucleotide RNA transcript. It is a transcript of the gene named protein HAIKU1, with no coding region annotated. The transcript is spliced from 2 exons. Lineage: Eukaryota; Viridiplantae; Streptophyta; Magnoliopsida; Cucurbitales; Cucurbitaceae. The record is from RefSeq and is a predicted model, not a curated record.